Molecule: long non-coding RNA, 2802 nt
Filed under: Sus scrofa (pig)
Lineage: Eukaryota; Metazoa; Chordata; Mammalia; Artiodactyla; Suidae
Description: lncRNA (ENSSSCG00035011320.1)
Source: RNAcentral
UUUCUCACGGAUUUCUUUUACUUAUUUUGACUUGGCCCAGCGGCAGCUCCAUUUGAAAGGUUUUGAGUCUAUUUUUCUGAACAAGCUCCAUGGGGCAGGAAUAGCGUUUUCUUGCUGUAUCUCCAGUGCUGAGAGAGAGGCCUAUACCAGGUGCAUGAUAUAUGCCUAUGGAUACUGAAUGAAAUAAGUGGGUGUUGCUGUCAAACGCGCUGAACACGGCUCUGCCCAUCCUCCCCCAGCGUGGACUUAGCAAAUGCUGGGACGUUUCUGAGAGCUUUUGAUUUUAAUGACUUCAGGAACUAGGAAGAGAGCAGGAUUUGUCUCUGAAAGGAAUGAAUUACAACUGUCUGUACGGACAGUUUUCCUAAAUCAGGCAUGGAGCUACUGUCUAUCUCUUUACCCGGAGAUCCUCUUAGUGACUGAGCCCAAGGGCGGAGUAUUGACCGUGAACUUCCUAAGGUCCCGCGAGGACUAGAACUCCAGAGUCAAGGCUUUGCGUGAACGAGGGGCUCAAACACUGGUGGCGCCUCCACCCCCUCCUAGAGAUGAGGGCCCGUUGUCAAGCGGCCCCUGAGAAGAUGAGGAGGGAUGGAGAAGAUGCUUGUCUGUAGACCGUGUUUUGAGCUCUAUGGCAGCUCCUCUGCAAACCUUAGGAAUGAUGAGACGGGGCAGCAGCAUGAAGGCAGAGGCUUUACCCCAUCAGGGCGCUUUUUAGGUGUUGUGAAAACCCAUGAGAGAACUGCUAAACACAGGAUAGUUAAGCCAUGUUUCUGCUGUUGGUCCUGGGAGCACUGCCACCUCUGCUUGCACCUAGGUGGGCACCUGCCAGCCGAUGGGCCCCUUACUUCGCUGUUAACUCGAGAGCAUUCCUGUUAUACACAGGGAUUCUGAACAGGAAGAAGGGCAUUUCUCAGAAGGAACAGGAGGAAACCUUGAACUCCAGAUAAGAAUAAUCAGUCCUUCCAACGUAACUGCGCAUGCCUAGCUGUCAGCCCCACCAGCGUGGACACGUGACUGAAGAACGCAUCAGCCCAGCUGCCUGUAAGGGAAGGGACUUCUGCAUUCUUUUUUAAGCACAGGACUGCCCUCUUGAAUUUUAGUUACGCAUUAUUUAUAACAUGAAAACAAAUGGCAUUUUGUUCCCCCGAGAAGUGACUCAAGCUAAAAAUCAAACUUUUAAAAAUGUUUUAAAAUGUUCAUAAAUUACACAUAAUAGGUUUCAUCGUGAGUUGCUUACUCACUUGGGAGGUUUGCUUCCUGGAAUUUUUUGUUUUUUUCCGUUUUAGGGCCACACCCAUAGCUUAUGGAAGUUCCCAGGCUAGGGGUCAAAUCUUGAGUCAGCGCUGCCGCUGCCGGCCUACACCACAGCCACAGCAACACUAGAUCUGAGCCGUGUCUGCGACGUACACCACAGCUCACGGCAGUGCCGGAUCCUCAACCCACUGAGCAAGGCCGGGCAUCACACCCAAGUCCUCAGGGGUACUAGUUGAGCUCUUAACCUGCUGAGCCACCACGGGAACGCCUCUCGACCUUGAAAAUUGAGUAGGACCGUGACCUUUCCCACGGCCACUUCCCUGGCCGCCCUCUGUCCGAGAGAGGAUGCUCCUGCCACGGACACGACACUUUGAGAGGAGGGAGGAAAACAGCAGGCAGGUUUUCAGGGCUGAGAUGCAUGAAGAAAUGGUAUGUGAUCUGAGGUUGCUUAGAUUAGACAAGAUGACCGUUUCUGAAGAAAUAACUUUUUAUGAAAUGGUUAUCGAAUCUUAAUUACGCUUGAGGAUUACUCAUGAGCGUGUGCUCCUAAACUAUGUGGGUGAAACAAAUCAACAGUUAGACUUGGGAAUUUGACCGUCCCGCUGAUGAGCCCAGGAUAGUCCACGGGGACAGGGAAUGAAGUCGUCGGGGGCGGGGAGGGGCAUUGGGUCUACGAGGGGGGAAGGAUCAGGUGUCCCAGAGCCUGUUAACUGCAGACUGGUUCAGAAAUAGGAAAUUAGAAGUCCUAACUACUUUAAUUCAGCCUCAGUUUUUUUAAAGCCUACCAUUUUUAAAAAUCAACUCAUAAAUAAUAGUGUUACUAAAUGAGGAACUUUAAGGGGAAAAGCCUCUGACACAGUAAAGCAUCAGACUACUUGCAUUUUCUCUUUGUAACCAAGAAGAGCAAAGUGCAUUUUCAUGCCAAGCAGGUUACAGAGGACCUCAGCGAGGACAGACAAUGAUUUAACCUAACUUUAAGUAUCUCCUAAUUAUUUAUGUGUUCCUGACUAGAUUGUUUGCAAGAAGUUCUGUGAUAUUCUGCUUUUUAUUUUAUUUAUUUAUUUAUUUGUUGUCUUUUUUAGGGCCACACCUGCGGCAUAUGGAGACUCCCAGGCUAGGGGUCUAAUCAGAGCUUCGGCUGCCAGCCCACGCCAAAGCCACAGCAACUCGGGACCCAAGCCGCGUCUGUGACCUACACCACAGCUCACAGUGACACCGGAUCCUUAACCCACUGAGCGAGGCCAGGGAUCAAACCCGCAGCCUCAUGGUUCCUAGGCAGAUUCCUUAACCACUGAGCCAUGACAGAAACUCCUGUGAUAUUAUGCUUUUUAAAAAGCUUUUAUUGGCAUCCUUUCUGACGUAUCAAAACCUGAGCUUCUGUAACGCUUCUUUAGGAGACUGAAUGUGCUGAGAAGGUUUGCUCUAGAAAACCAUUCAUUUGAAGUGAAAAACCGUUUCUCAUGGGUAUAGAGUUGGCUGCCCAAGCGUAUUGAUCGCAUUAACUCUGACCUCACUGAUUUUGCUAUAAUUAAAUCAACUGUUAGAAAA